RNAcentral lists this ribosomal RNA (504 nucleotides) under uncultured bacterium. RNAcentral's name for it is "partial 16S ribosomal RNA". It matches the Rfam family "Bacterial small subunit ribosomal RNA", at positions 30 to 523 of the family's 1533-position model. The record is from RNAcentral.
AUUGAACGCUGGCGGCAGGCCUAACACAUGCAAGUCGAACGGUAGCACAGAGAGCUUGCUCUCGGGUGACGAGUGGCGGACGGGUGAGUAAUGUCUGGGAAACUGCCCGAUGGAGGGGGAUAACUACUGGAAACGGUAGCUAAUACCGCAUAACGUCGCAAGACCAAAGUGGGGGACCUUCGGGCCUCACACCAUCGGAUGUGCCCAGAUGGGAUUAGCUAGUAGGUGGGAUAAUGGCUCACCUAGGCGACGAUCCCUAGCUGGUCUGAGAGGAUGACCAGCAACCCUGGAACUGAGACACGGUCCAGACUCCUACGGGAGGCAGCAGUGGGGAAUAUUGCACAAUGGGCGCAAGCCUGAUGCAGCCAUGCCGCGUGUAUGAAGAAGGCCUUCGGGUUGUAAAGUACUUUCAGCGGGGAGGAAGGCGGUGAAGUUAAUAGCUUCACCGAUUGACGUUACCCGCAGAAGAAGCACCGGCUAACUCCGUGCCAGCCGCCGCCGUAA